RNAcentral lists this ribosomal RNA (253 nucleotides) under uncultured bacterium. RNAcentral describes it as "partial 16S ribosomal RNA". It matches the Rfam family "Bacterial small subunit ribosomal RNA", at positions 524 to 776 of the family's 1533-position model. The record is from RNAcentral.
UACGUAGGGGGCAAGCGUUGUCCGGAAUCAUUGGGCGUAAAGAGCGUGUAGGCGGCCAGAAAAGUCCGCUGUGAAAACUCGAGGCUCAACUUCGAGCUGUCGGUGGAAACUUUCUGGCUAGGGUCCGGAAGAGGAGAAUGGAAUUCCUGGUGUAGCGGUGAAAUGCGCAGAUAUCAGGAAGAACACCCGUGGCGAAGGCGGUUCUCUGGGACGGUACUGACGCUGAGACGCGAAAGCGUGGGGAGCGAACAGG